Molecule: unclassified non-coding RNA, 330 nt
Filed under: soil metagenome
Description: partial contains 5.8S ribosomal RNA, internal transcribed spacer 2, and large subunit ribosomal RNA
Rfam family: 5.8S ribosomal RNA (bases 1-120)
Source: RNAcentral
GAUGAAGAACGCAGCAAAAUGCGAUAAGUAAUGUGAAUUGCAGAAUUCAGUGAAUCAUCGAAUCUUUGAACGCACAUUGCGCCCCCUGGUAUUCCGGGGGGCAUGCCUGUUCGAGCGUCAUUUCACCACUCAAGCCUCGCUUGGUAUUGGGCAACGCGGUCCGCCGCGUGCCUCAAAUCGACCGGCUGGGUCUUCUGUCCCCUAAGCGUUGUGGAAACUAUUCGCUAAAGGGUGUUCGGGAGGCUACGCCGUAAAACAACCCCAUUUCUAAGGUUGACCUCGGAUCAGGUAGGGAUACCCGCUGAACUUAAGCAUAUCAAAAGCGGAGGA